Molecule: ribosomal RNA, 490 nt
Filed under: uncultured bacterium
Lineage: Bacteria
Description: partial 16S ribosomal RNA
Rfam family: Bacterial small subunit ribosomal RNA
Source: RNAcentral
GAUGAACGCUAGCGGCAGGCCUAAUACAUGCAAGUCGAACGGGAUCCAGAUCAAAGCUUGCUUUGGUUUGGUGAGAGUGGCGCACGGGUGCGUAACGCGUGAGCAACCUACCCUUGUCAGGGGGAUAGCCCGGCGAAAGUCGGAUUAAUACCGCAUGACAUCAUUGAGAGGCAUCUUUCGAUGAUCAAAGAUUUAUCGGACAAGGAUGGGCUCGCGUGACAUUAGCUAGUUGGUAAGGUAACGGCUUACCAAGGCUACGAUGUCUAGGGGCUCUGAGAGGAGGACCCACCAGACUGGUACUGAGACCCGGACCAGACUCCUACGGGAGGCAGCAGUAAGGAAUAUUGGUCAAUGGACGGAAGUCUGAACCAGCCAUGCCGCGUGCAGGAAGACGGCCCUAUGGGUUGUAAACUGCUUUUAUACGGGAACAAACGUCGGUACGUGUACCGGUCUGAGUGUACCGUAAGAAUAAGGAUCGGCUAACUCCGUG